AUGUUGCCCAGGCUGGUCUUGAACUCCUGGCCUCAAGUGAUAUUCCCACCCUGGCCACCCGGAGUGCUGGGAUUACAAGUAAUCAAGGCCAUGAAGCUACAGAUGGUUUCACGAAUGGAACCCCAAAAGAGCUCAACUAACAACUUCUACCAAGGACCCCUGGACUGACCUGCUGGCCGUUUCACUGGCUUAAAGAGUUCCCCUCUGGAGGUCACUACAACUGCAGGGCCCCUUCUUCGCUCCUAUCCAGCAGGAAGUAGCUAGAGCAGUCAUCGCCCAAUUCCCAACAGCAGUUGGGGUGUCUUGCUUAGAGCGGGGAUUGAGAGGUGAAGCUGGCUGGGCUUCUGGGUCAGGUGGGGACUUGGAGAACUUUUCUGUCUAGCUAAAUGAUUGUACACACACCAAUCAGUGCUCUGUGUCUAGCUAAAGGUUUGUAAACACACCAGUCAGCACUCUGUAAAAACGCACCAAUCAGUGCUCUGUGUCUAGCUAAAAGUUUGUAAAGGGACCAAUCAGCACUCUGUAAAAACGGACCAAUCAGCACUCUAAAAUGGACCAAUCAGCUCUGUAAAAUGCACCAAUCAGCAGGUCGUGGGUGGGGCCAAAUAAGGGAAUAAAAGCUGGCCACCCCAGCCAGCAGAGGCAACCCCCUCUGGUACCCUUCCACUCUCUGGAAUCUUUGUUCUUUCACUCUUCACAAUAAAUCUUGCUGCUGCUCACUCUUUGGGUCCGCACUAUCUUUAUGAGCUGUAACACUCACUGCGGGGGUCUGUGGCUUCAUUCCUGAAGUCACUGAGACCACAAACCCACCAGGAGGAACAAACAACUCCGGAUGCGCCAGCUUUAAGAGCUGUAACACUCACUACGAAGGUCUGUGGCUUCACUCCUGAAGUCAGUGAGACCACAAACUCACUGGAAGGAAGAAACUCCAGACACAUCUGAGCAUCUGAAAGAACAAACUCCGGAUACACCAUCUUUAAGAACUGUAAUACUCACUGACCGCGAGGGUCCGCAGCUUCAUCUUGAAGUCAGCGAGACCAAGAACCCACCAAAAGGAAUAAAUUCCAGACACAAGACCAGAGUUGACAACCCAUCUCCACCAUACAAAAGUGUAUUGAUUUGGAGAAAAUCACUUAACCUCUGCCCCCCAGUUUCCCUAUCCCUGAGAUGGUAAUGUUAACAGUACUUACAUCUUAGGAUUGUUGUGAGGAUUAAAGACUUUUGGGGUAGAACAUUUAGGAGAUACUUGGCAAGAUGUGUACAUUCAACAGAUGAGAUUAUCUCCUGUAUGCUGCUUUACAACAUUUUGAUUUAAUAGUAUAUCUCUGGCAUGUUUCUGCAUCAGUAUAUAUGAAUCUACUUUAUCCCUUUUAACAGUAGGGUUUUCCCCCCUGUUCUUUAAAAAAAGUUUCUUAAAUCUUAAUUUUUCCCAAUAUAGCAUAUAUUAAUAGUAAAAACUCAAAGUGUAUAGAAAGCUUUUCAAAUGACAACAGUCACCACCUCAUUUCUUCCCA
This 1514-nucleotide long non-coding RNA is filed under the name Papio anubis (olive baboon). RNAcentral's name for it is "lncRNA (ENSPANG00000049543.1)". Lineage: Eukaryota; Metazoa; Chordata; Mammalia; Primates; Cercopithecidae. The record is from RNAcentral.